GACGAACGCUGGCGGCGUGCUUAACACAUGCAAGUCGAACGGAAAGGCCCUGCUUGCAGGGUACUCGAGUGGCGAACGGGUGAGUAACACAUGGGUGAUCUGCCCUGCACUUCGGGAUAAGCCUGGGCAACUGGGUGUAAUACCGGAUAGGAGCCAUUUUUAGUGUGAUGGUUGGAAAGUUUUUUCGGUGUAGGAUGAGUUGGCGGCCUAUCAGCUUGUUGGUGGGGUAAUGGGCUACCAAGGCGGCGUCGGGUAGCCGGCCUGAGAGGGUGGACGGCCACACUGGGACUGAGAGAAGGCCCAGACACCUACGGGAGGGAGCAGUGGGGAAGAUUGCCCGAUGGGCGCAAGCCUGAUGCAGCGACGCCGCGUGGGGGAUGACGGCCUUCGUGGUGUAAACUCCAUUCGCUAGGGACGAAGCUUUUUGUGACGGUACCUAGAUAAGAAGCACCGGCUAACUACGUG
Molecule: ribosomal RNA, 465 nt
Filed under: uncultured bacterium
Lineage: Bacteria
Description: partial 16S ribosomal RNA
Rfam family: Bacterial small subunit ribosomal RNA
Source: RNAcentral